Molecule: long non-coding RNA, 240 nt
Filed under: Meriones unguiculatus (Mongolian gerbil)
Lineage: Eukaryota; Metazoa; Chordata; Mammalia; Rodentia; Muridae
Description: lncRNA (ENSMUGG00000006410.1)
Source: RNAcentral
GAGCACUUCCUCCUUUCCACAGGACUAGAGUUUGGUUCCUAGCAGUCAGUUAGGAUGGCUCACAACCACCUGUAACUCCAGCUCCAGAGGAUCUUGUGCCCUCUUCUGGCCUUCAUGGAUACCCACACACACAUGGCACAUACAUACUUCUGGGUCUUCGCAGGGUCUAAUCUGUUGCUAGGAAGAGGACAACUUGGACACCCCUGUAUGUGCUUCUAGAAGUCAAGGACAUUCAGGCAG